GUUUUUUUAAAUAUAUAUUUUAUAUAAAUAUUUAUUAUCUAUCUAUGGUGUAACGGUCCCAGCCUGAGGGGACCGUUCCACUUUGUGUUUUCUGUUUGUCCUUGACUUGUCUUGUCCUUGUGUGGCGGCACGAGAGCUGACAAAACCAAACACCGACAACGCCACUCGGGGAAUUUCACCCAAAGAAUUAGUUUGAAUCACCACUUCAAUAUAAUGUUUAAAGGACACACAGGUCAGUUUACAAGAAGGCGCCAAAGACGAGGUUCAACUUUAAAAAAAGUAUAAAUUUUUAUUACAAAAUCAAUGCAAUUAAAAACAAUCAAUUUAAAAAUACCUUCACACCAAUAGGGGACAAAUAAUUAGGGCUGAGGCUUACCUGAUGGAGGGGGAAAGGGGAACAAGGAUGGAACAGGAUCUCAGGGAAAGUCACCCGUGAACACGCAAACAAACAGUGAGCACAGCAAAUAAAAAAAGGGGAGAGGCACAGCACACUGGAAGGGAGAUACCACCUUCAGCUCUCAGCCACUAAAACAUGAGGGGGAACACACAAACAAAGGGAGUUCACUCUUCAACAAUAAAGUCAAAACAAUAUUGCAAAAAUGAAAAGACCAAACUGGAAAAAAACUACUUCAGCCACUCUUCAGGUAGGUGGGCUAACCCACAACAUUCAUACACUUAGGGACUGAGACCUACAUAAUGGCCCCACAGAAGCAACAGAGAAUGGUUGGAUGGCGGGCCGCAACAAUAAACCACAGUUCAAAUAGUAGUCUAUUUUAACAUCAUGUGUAGGCAAAACAAACAGCUGGUAAUUGAGAUGCUCGGCAGCUAAUAAGACUCUCCGGCAGCUUCAGUCCAAUCCCUAAUGUUUACACAAAACAACAAUUAACACCAAAUAAAGCUAAAGAAAUAACUCCCACCUCAUUUACCCACAUACCGUUACGCAGAGUUCGAGUCGCUCCAGAGGGAAGACGUCCCGAGAAUGCAACGUGCAGACAACUAUCAGUGCUACUCGCUUUGCAUUAUUGUGUUACUUCGGCGAGUAGGGGGAGGUGAAUCUGCCAGCCGAAGAUCUAAAAUGUUUAAUGCAUAGUAAAAUAACGGCCGCAAAUGAUUAACAACAUUUAGUGCAGAGGCAGCCAAACCACCACCUUACCCAACGCUCGAGCAGACAAAUCACAGCAGUCACAAGCCGGAAGUGCAGUGUGCUCCAGUCCCCAGCAAGCAAGGCAGUGGGUGGACUACUGGCUGUUUUUAUACGGCGCUCCACCAUUGUGAUUGGCCGAAAACGCACAGGUAGUUAUGAGCUAAAACUCAUACUGCUACAAUCUACCGCAACCUUUUCAUCGUCACCUUUUCAAACGAUACCCUAGACUAACUCCAAGGACGAAAGAGGGCCACUACUUCAUUAGACACAGGACCAUGGGGAUUAAGCGCAUUGUCUACUACCCCUACUGGUCUUGGCAGGUGAUAGACAUUAGAAUGCUGGCCGGCCGUUGGCCGGGCUGUCCGACGUCUGGCCACUUCACCCAUCACCGGCUGGAAGGCAGGCAGAAAGACCGGAGGACUAAUAGGUCUUGCUGCUGCCUCAGUAAUCGGGAUCACAGAGGGGCCUGGCCCAGUAAAUACCGGGGCUGAUGGUAGGGGCUGUAUUCGAGGGGUGGUUUGGAUGACCACAGCCAUGCGAGUGGGAUUUACCGCAGGAACCUCUUGCCUCACAACAACCAGGUCAUCCCCGGACCACUCAUUCUCCGACUGAGGUGGGUCAACAAGGCGAAGCAGCAUUACUUAAAGGACGCGCGCAAACCACAGCCUUCAACAGGGCACAGUUAACUUGUCUGGCUUUGGUUGGUUCGUCCAUGGGUGCAAUAGUAUACACCGACCCUCCAUCUUUGGGCACCUUAAGGACCCUGUACUGCACCGGACCGUAGGCGUCACAAAGCUUAUGAUGGCCCGUGCCGAAAAAUCACGAAGCCAAACUAGCUGGCCCAUUUUAAGGGGGACAACUCUCACUCGCCGAUCAUAGUUCUUCUUACGCCGCUCUGCGGCAACCCACAGCCUCUCUGUAGCACCUUCAAAGGCCAGCUGUAAGCGGGUCUGGUGCUCCUGGAUCCAUUCGUGGACAUGUCCACCCACAGGAUCCUGAACUCUACCCAACAAGAAAUCAAACGGCAACCUAGGUUCCUGACCGAAAAUUAGGAAUAACGGAGACUCGCCUGUCGCUUGAUGGGGAGUGGUGUUGUAAGAAAAGAGGACCUGUGGCAAGCAGUCUCUCUUCCGAGACACUGGCAGAGUACGCAACAAAUUAUGGAGCGUCCUAUUGAACCGUUCGCAUUGGCCAUUACCGGCCGGAUGGUAUGGCGUAGUGCGAGACUUUUCAAUGCCAUAAAAAUGACAAAGCUGUUGAAUAAGGGAGCUCUCAGAGUGGAUACGGGCCGGAACUCCAAACUUGGAGAACCACUCCACCACCAAAGCUUGAGCCACAGUAGGUGCUCGUUGGUCCCGGGUGGGGACAGCAAGUGUAUACUUACUGAACACAUCAGUCAUGACCAGGACAUUCUCCAAACCACCCUGGGUGGGUUCUAACAUGGUGUAGUCAAUGGCUACAAUCUCGUUAGGCCGCGAGGCCAACAAGUGUCCCAUAAGACUAGACUUGGCUAAUCGAGAGUCCUUGGCAACUUGGCACCUCUCACAAGACUGACACCACCGAGACACGUCCGAGGACAUCCCGGGCCAAUAGCAGCGUUGGUGUAGAAGCUCUAAAGUCCUCUCUACGCCCUGGUGGCCGUGCUCCUGAUGGACCUUAGUCAACACCUCUUCCCUUAAGGAGACAGGCACUACCACCUGCAAGACUACUUCCCCACCAUCAGGCCGAAACACCUGGUGAUACAAAACACCACUUCUCUCAGCCAAGCGGUCCCAUUGCUGAAGCAACACCAAUACAGGCCGAGAUGCCCUUUGACGUUCUUCGAAGUUGGGACGCUGCUCUCGUCUCCAAAACACAAGAGCCUCCUGGAUAACUGAGUCAGCCUGUUGCAGGGCAUAAAUAUCAGACGUAGUGUAAUGAGGCAGGGCCAUAAUGGCAGUUUAAGUUGCCUCAACCAGCAUCCCCUGAAGGGCCUGCUGUAGUGGUUUGGGGAGUGAUGUGCCAGGAAGCAUAGCUUCCAUAUUUGCUGGACCAGGUGGAUACUGACGUGAUAGAGCAUCUGCAUUCCUGUUACUUCGGCCGGAGCGGUAUUUGACCUCGAAGUCAAAUGAUGCCAGCUGAGCAGCCCAACGUUGCUCUGUUGCACCAAGCUUAGCGGAUGACAACUGACUAAGUGGAUUGUUAUCAGUAAAAACCACACACUUAUGGCCCAGCAGGUACUCCCGAAACUUUUCUGUCAUGGCCCAUUUGAGGGCCACAAACUCCAAUCUCAUAGAGCUGUAGUUCACCAUGUUGCGCUCCGGGUUAGGGCUAGGGCCUCAAGCCCCGACUGGCAUAGGCAAUAGGCCUAACUUUACCAACUUGUUCUUGCGAUAACACUGCCCCAAGGCCACCAUGACUUGCAUCCACCUCCAAAAUGAAGGGAAGAGAAAAGUCAGCAUAAGCAAGCACUGGGGCACUUGUGAGCUUGGUUUUCAGUGCUUCAAAACUGCAAUGGCACUCCUCUGUCCAAUUAUCAACAAAUGUUUGCUCUACCCUCCUCUUGGACUUGGUUGGCGCCAGGUACGCCACGAACUUAUGUAAAGGGGCCGCCAUCUUAGCAAAACCUUCCACAAAACGGCGGUAAUAGCUGGCGAACCCAAGAAACGACCGCAGCUCUGAAACGGUCGCAGGGGGCUGCCAGUUAGCCACUACCUCCACCUUGCUGGGGUCUGUGGCCACCCCGUCACUGGAUAUCACAUGCCCCAGGUAACGUACCUCCUGCUGGAAAAAGGCACAUUUGGUGAGCUUUGCCUUGAGAUUCUCCUUUUGCAGCCAACUCAACACCACUUCCAAUCUCUCCAAGUGCUGCUGUAUGGUAGAAGAGAACUACAAUAUCAUCAAGGUAAAGCAACAAAGACCGAUUUUGUUGAUCCCCAAACAGACGUUGCAUCAACCGCUGAAAAGUGCCGGGGGCAUUACAGAGCCCGAAGGGCAUGCGAUUCCACUCAAAAAGCCCAAACGGAGUGCAGUUUUGGAUCGAUCUGCCUCAGUAACUGGGACCUGAUUAUACCCGCUGGCCUCCAACGAUUCCUCGAUGCGCGGAAGAGGGAAAGCAUCUUUCUGGGUUUUACAGUUGAGCUGCCGGUAAUCAACACACAUUCGUAGGGUUCCAUCCUUCUUCUUGACGAGGACAAUGGGGCUAGCGUAGGGACUACUACUCUCCCUGAUUACCUGUGACUCGAGCAAUUGAUGUAUAUGCUCUUUAACCACCUCGUACUCAGACGGCGGAAUACGCCUAUGGCGUUGCCUGACCGGCACGUCGUCUACGAGAGGAAUGUCAUGGGUAAUCAGGUUGGUGCACCCAAGGUCCCAGUCGUGGGCAGAAAAGACGGAAUUAUAUCGCCCAAGAAGAGACUUCACCGGACCCUGUUCCUCAGCAGACAAUGAUGACAGGUCCAUAUUAUCUAACUGAUCCUGCACUGUGAGAGCAGCAGUCUGAGAUGCCACUGUGGCCACACCGGCCGGCACCUCUGUGACUCCGGUGGGCAAGCUGACGACACGAACCUCAUCCAGGGUACCUACAAUGAUUGUCUCCUCUCCCUGAGUGUAUUAUCCGCCAUUACGUUCAUCACGGCGAUCGCGACCGUUGCAUAUGUGGGUUUGGAAGAGAAGUUGAGCUUCUGCUGGACGUAAAAGUUGGGACAGCGACAUGUCUUCCAUUCUGAUGCUGGUUCACCUUUUGCCACCCUCAAGUCAAGGCCGCAAAACACCGGGAAAGAUCUCAGCGAGAAAAGCAUGUGAUUGUCUUGUGAAAUUCAUCAAGACCGGUACCAGUAUCCAAGGGCACUUGGAUACCAUUGGAGAGAGCCUCCAGCCAUAUCUGCUUGUUGUUGGGCCAAGGAGAAGUAGGGUCCAGUCUUGUUUUAUUGUUAUUGACAAACAUGCUCUACCCUGUAAGGCCUCUAAUUCACUGGCCUGUGUUGAUGAGCUUUUCAAAGCUCACUUUGUCUUUGGCACCUCAUACUGUCAGGAACUUACCAAUGUGUACAACUUUCUGCAAACCACUGUCUAUGACAUAGAUGUUGAAACCACCAAGGUGAAUCCUAGAGUGGCUGAGUUAAGAGCUAGAAUGCUCCAGUGAGCAGAUGAUUUGUUUCAUAUGUAAAAGGGGGCAUGCUAGUGCCAAUGCCCUUAUAAGGCACUUUAAGUUAGUUCAUGGCCUUUGUCCAGGCAAAAGUUUGAAGUUAAAAUGUGCUCAAAGAGGUUGUUCACAUGUUUACCAUAGUUUUUCUGGAUUACGAAAGCAUCUCAGCAAGUGUUGUGCGAUUGACCGUUCACACCUCGAUUAUGGUGAAAGCUCAUCCAACGCCAACUCCAUUUCACUAGGGGAUGUAGGUGUUUUACCAAACCAAAAUUCAACUUGUGAGUCUGUACUCCCAAAAACAAAUAUAGAAAACAGUUGUGCAACAGUGGUAGCCGAACUUAAAGUUGUUGGUGUAGCAGAGACAACUAUUAACUAUGUUGUUAGUGCUCUAGAAGAAGUGGUUGGAGACGUUUAUAGUCAAACACAAGAGUCUGUGAAAAAGAGCUUAUCUUUAGAGGAGCCCAUAAAAAGUUUGGUUGAGUCUCAAAUUGAUCAGUGUUUUGAAAAAAUGCAAAAUCCUUUUGUGGCAUUAAACACUGAGAGUAAGAGAAUGCAGUACUUUUCGGACAAAUGGGGGAAAAUAGAUCCUGUUGAAUAUGUUCUCGGUACAAGAUUUGCUACACGGCGUAAUAGAACAAUUGGAACUUUCGCCCAAACCAUUGUUAAGGAUAAAUUUGUAUAUAUACCAAUUAUUGAGACAAUACAGUCGAUUUAUAAGCACCCUAACAUUAAAGAUAUGAUGAUGAGGGAUUCACAACAAAUACCAAAUUUUCUUUAUGACAUACAAGAUGGAGAAUUAUUUAAGAAUCAUGCGCUCUUUUCAAAACAAAGACAUGCUGUUCAGAUCCAGCUUUUUUUGAUGAAUUUGAAUGCUCAAAUCCCCUUGGAUCAAAAAAGGGAAUACAUAAAUUAGGAGCUAUCUAUUUUACCCUUAGAAAUAUUUCCCCUAAAUACAAUUCGAGUUUUCUAAAUAUUCAUUUAGUUGGUUUAUUUCAUUCCUUAUUUGGUUUUGUAGAAUCUUUCAGUGCUAGGUACUGUUGCCGCUUUUGCCUACUAGAGAAAGAAGACUUUCAGACAGAGUUCAGUGAAGAUAGUCCAAAGAUGUCAGUGCGAACUAAAGAACUUCAUGCUGAACAUUGUCAGAGUAUGCAGAACAAUCCCAGUCUACCUUAUGUAAUGGGAGUAAAAAAGUCUUGCCUUUUAAAUUCGUUGCAAUAUUUCCACACCACUGCAAAUUUUUCAGUUGAUAUCAUGCAUGAUAUAUUAGAGGGUGUCGGACAAUAUGAAAUGAAAUUACUCCUUCAGCACCUGAUUGACAAUUACACCACACCAGCAGAAGUACACAGAAGAAUUCAGAGUUUCAACUAUGGCUUCUUGGAACAAAACAACAAACCUCCUGGUGUAGCAUUAAGAGAGGGUUCCAAUGACUUGGGCUUAAAUGCCACCCAGAGCUGGUGUUUACUGCGUCAUCUACCCAUUAUGUUUGGAGAUCUUGUCUGUCCUAAUGAUCAUCACUGGUAUUUGUUUAUUUUAUUGCUUCAGAUAGUCAAUAUAGUGUUUUCUUCAGUUAUAUCCACUGGUAUCACUAUUUAUUUGAAACACCUGAUUGCAGAGCACCACAGUUUGUUUAAGCAUUUGUUUCCUGACAAGAACUUGUUGCCAAAGCAUCAUUUUAUGGUGCAUUACCCCAGUUGUAUGCAGAAAAUUGGACCAUUGCUACAUAGUUGGUGCGUGCGUUAUGAAGCGAAGCAUAACUUUUUUUAAAAGCAGUUGAAAAGCUUUAAAAACAUAACAAAAACAUUAGCAAAAAACACCAGUGCCAAAUCGCUUACAUUUGGCAAACAUUUGAUCCAAAUGACAUGAAAUUAGGUCCUGGGAAAAUGACUCCCUUAAAUGAAAUGGAAGUUGGUGCUGAGAUUGCGGAGAAACUUAAUGUACCUAUGUGGACUAAGGUUCUAAAUGUAAAAUGGGUCAAGCGCUGUGGAAUUACUUACCGUUUAGGAUUAGCAGUUUGUGUUCAAGUUCAAAAUGAAAUGCCUGUAUUUCAUGUAAUCCAGAAUAUUGUUAUCAAAGAUGAGCAGAUCCUUUUGAUUACAACUGCACUAAAAACGUUUUGUUUAGCUGAACAUGUCAAUUCUUACAAAGUUGCACAUACUGCAGAAGCACCUUCUGUUUUGGAGAUUAGGGAUAUUUUGCACCACAAGUUGUUUGAUAUUCUUAUGUCUUAUGGUUUGGAUUCUGAUUUGUUUAUUGUACCAUAUUGUUUCAUAUAAUUCUUCAUCCUUUCUCUUACAUUAUCACUAUCACAAUUUUCUAUUAUUUUAGUAUUAUUGUUUUCAUUAUUUGUUUAUUUUAUGAUCACAAGUGAAUUAAACGGGGUGCUAAUGUUUUUAUUAUUUUAGUAUUGUUUUCAUUAUUUAUUUAUUUUAUGAUCACAAGUGAAUUAAACGGGGUGCUAAUGUCUUUAUUAUUUUAGUAUUGUUUUCAUUAUUUGUUUUAAGCUC
Molecule: long non-coding RNA, 7774 nt
Organism: Esox lucius (northern pike)
Lineage: Eukaryota; Metazoa; Chordata; Actinopteri; Esociformes; Esocidae
Source: Ensembl